This 609-nucleotide ribosomal RNA is filed under the name uncultured bacterium. RNAcentral's name for it is "bacterial SSU rRNA". It matches the Rfam family "Bacterial small subunit ribosomal RNA", at positions 43 to 647 of the family's 1533-position model. The record is from RNAcentral.
CAGGCUUAACACAUGCAAGUCGAGGGGCAGCAUGUCCAGCAAUGGAUGAUGGCGACCGGCGUAAGGGUGCGUAACGCGUGAGCAACAUGCCCUAUACAGGAGGAUACUCCGGGGAAACCCGGUCUAAUACUCCAUAGUAUUAUUGAGAGGCAUCUCUUAAUAAUUAAAGCUUCGGUGGUAUAGGAUUGGCUCGCGUGACAUUAGCCAGAUGGUGAGGUAACGGCUCACCAUAGCAACGAUGUCUAGGGGUUUUGAGAGGAAGGCCCCCCACACUGGGACUGAGACACGGCCCAGACUCCUACGGGAGGCAGCAGUGAGGAAUAUUGGACAAUGGAUGGAAAUCUGAUCCAGUCAUGCCGCGUGCAGGAAGACUGCCUUAUGGGUUGUAAACUGCUUUUAUACGGGAGCAAUAAGGGUUACGUGUAACCUGAUGAGAGUACUGUAUGAAUAAGGAUCGGCUAACUCCGUGCCAGCAGCCGCGGUAAUACGGAGGAUCCGAGCGUUAUCCGGAAUUAUUGGGUUUAAAGGGUGCGUAGGCGGCUAUUUAAGUCAGCGGUGAAAUUUUGCAGCUUAACUGUAACAGUGCCGUUGAAACUGUUUAGCUAGGAU